Molecule: long non-coding RNA, 256 nt
Organism: Erpetoichthys calabaricus (reedfish)
Lineage: Eukaryota; Metazoa; Chordata; Cladistia; Polypteriformes; Polypteridae
Exons: 2
Source: RefSeq, a predicted model, not a curated record
CUUGCUAUUUUAAAUGUUAAAAACAAAAUCAAAAAUAUAAAAUAGCAGAAAAGAAUUCCUUUUAUUGAGGUGCCUUCUUCCAGUCUCGAGUUUGGCACAGCAGCUUAAACGGUUUAGGGCUGUGGCUCAAACCCACAAUGCCUUCUAGGUCUGGUGGGGAGGCAUCAUCUGGCCAGGAGAACUUGAGGUGCUGUAGAAGACUGCUGAAGAAGAUGAAAAGCUCCACACGGGCAAGCUGCUCUCCUGGACACAUUCG